Molecule: ribosomal RNA, 495 nt
Filed under: uncultured bacterium
Lineage: Bacteria
Description: partial 16S ribosomal RNA
Rfam family: Bacterial small subunit ribosomal RNA
Source: RNAcentral
GACGAACGCUGGCGGCGUGCCUAAUACAUGCAAGUAGAACGCUGAAGGAGGAGCUUGCUUCUCCGGAUGAGUUGCGAACGGGUGAGUAACGCGUAGGUAACCUGCCUGGUAGCGGGGGAUAACUAUUGGAAACGAUAGCUAAUACCGCAUAACAGUAGAUGUUGCAUGACAUUUGCUUAAAAGGUGCAAUUGCAUCACUACCAGAUGGACCUGCGUUGUAUUAGCUAGUUGGUGAGGUAACGGCUCACCAAGGCGACGAUACAUAGCCGACCUGAGAGGGUGAUCGGCCACACUGGGACUGAGACACGGCCCAGACGCCUACGGGAGGCAGCAGUAGGGAAUCUUCGGCAAGGGACGGAAGUCUGACCGAGCAACGCCGCGUGAGUGAAGAAGGUUUUCGGAUCGUAAAGCUCUGUUGUAAGAGAAGAACGAGUGUGAGAGUGGAAAGUUCACACUGUGACGGUAGCUUACCAGAAAGGGACGGCUAACUACGUG